Molecule: long non-coding RNA, 428 nt
Organism: Mauremys reevesii (Reeves's turtle)
Lineage: Eukaryota; Metazoa; Chordata; Testudines; Geoemydidae
Exons: 3
Source: RefSeq, a predicted model, not a curated record
GGUGACUGCCAGUAGCAAAAAUCCCCAACAGCUGGCAACAGGACACCAGAGGAGGGCAGCUCUGAGUUACUACAGAAAAUUCUCUCUCAAGUGUCUAGCUGCAUGGACAAUGAAAGCAGACUCCCAGCUAUUAGUCACUUCCACCUUCAGAAGUGCCAGACAUCAAUCCAGUGCUAUCAGCCUGAUGCUUUAUACAGGGGAAGCUUGAGAUCUUCAGACCCACCUGGGUCACCCUGAACAUGGACACUGGACUAUACAAAUGACCACUGGACUAUAACCUAUGGACUAAUUCUGAAAGAACUCUUUGCAACUACAAAGCUCACCAUCUCUACUAUGAAACUGAUCUCAGAACUGUACUCAUGUCUGUAGGUAUACUAGUCUUUUAACCAAUACACACACUCUUUUUUAACAAAUUUUAGUUUAGUUAA